GGGCCCGCACAAGCGGUGGAGUAUGUGGUUUAAUUCGAUGCAACGCGAAGAACCUUACCAGGGUUUGACAUCCUGCGAAUCUCUUGGAAACGAGAGAGUGCCUUCGGGAGCGCAGUGACAGGUGGUGCAUGGCUGUCGUCAGCUCGUGUCGUGAGAUGUUGGGUUAAGUCCCGCAACGAGCGCAACCCACGUCUUUAGUUGCCAGCAUUUAGUUGGGCACUCUAGAGAGACUGCCGGUGAUAAACCGGAGGAAGGUGUGGAUGACGUCAAGUCAUCAUGCCCCUUACAUCCUGGGCUACACACGUACUACAAUGGCCGAGACAAAGAGCAGCAAGUUUGCAAAGACAAGCC
This 351-nucleotide ribosomal RNA is filed under the name uncultured bacterium. RNAcentral's name for it is "bacterial SSU rRNA". It matches the Rfam family "Bacterial small subunit ribosomal RNA", at positions 917 to 1269 of the family's 1533-position model. The record is from RNAcentral.